This 340-nucleotide ribosomal RNA is filed under the name uncultured Gammaproteobacteria bacterium. Its description in RNAcentral is "bacterial SSU rRNA". It matches the Rfam family "Bacterial small subunit ribosomal RNA", at positions 144 to 489 of the family's 1533-position model. The record is from RNAcentral. Lineage: Bacteria; Pseudomonadati; Pseudomonadota; Gammaproteobacteria.
UAAACCAUGGAACGAUGCUAAUACGCAUAAUGCUACGGCCAAGAGGGAUCUUCGAACCUCUCGCGUCAAGAUAUGCCUAGUGGAUUAGCUAGUUGGUGAGGUAAUGGCUCACCAAGGCGACGAUCCCUAGCUGGUCUGAGAGGAUGAUCAGCCACACUGGAACUGAGACACGGUCCAGACUCCUACGGGAGGCAGCAGUGGGGAAUAUUGCACAAUGGGCGAAAGCCUGAUGCAGCCAUGCCGCGUGUAUGAAGAAGGCCUUCGGGUUGUAAAGUACUUUCAGUUGUGAGGAAGGGGGUAACGUUAAUAGCGUUAUCUCUUGACGUUAGCAACAGAAGAA